RNAcentral lists this ribosomal RNA (497 nucleotides) under uncultured bacterium. Its description in RNAcentral is "partial 16S ribosomal RNA". It matches the Rfam family "Bacterial small subunit ribosomal RNA", at positions 28 to 507 of the family's 1533-position model. The record is from RNAcentral.
GAUGAACGCUGGCGGCGUGCCUAAUACAUGCAAGUCGAGCGAACGGACGAGAAGCUUGCUUCUCUGAUGUUAGCGGCGGACGGGUGAGUAACACGUGGAUAACCUACCUAUAAGACUGGGAUAACUUCGGGAAACCGGAGCUAAUACCGGAUAAUAUUUUGAACCGCAUGGUUCAAAAGUGAAAGACGGUCUUGCUGUCACUUAUAGAUGGAUCCGCGCUGCAUUAGCUAGUUGGUAAGGUAACGGCUUACCAAGGCAACGAUGCAUAGCCGACCUGAGAGGGUGAUCGGCCACAAUGGAACUGAGGAACGGUCCCGACUCCUACGGGAGGCAGCAGUAGGGAAUCGUCCGCAAUGGGCGAAAGAAUGACGGAGCAACGCCGCGUGAGUGAGGAAGGUCUUCGGAUCGUAGAACUCUGUUAUUAGGGAAGAACAUAUGUGUAAGUAACUGUGCACAUCUUGACGGUACCUAAUCAGAAAGCCACGGCUAACUACGUG